GCCAUCAGGUAAUGCUGGGGACUCUAAAGGAACUGCCUACGCAAGUAGUGAGGAAGGCGGGGAGUGACGUCAAAUCAGCACGGCCCUUACGUCCAGGGCUACACACGUGCUACAAUGGCCGAUACAGAGGGCAGCUACCUGGUGACAGGAUGCAAAUCUCCAAAGUCGGUCUCAGUUCGGAUCGGAGUCUGCAACCCGACUCCGUGAAGUUGGAUUCGCUAGUAAUCGCGCAUCAGCCAUGGCGCGGUGAAUACGUUCCCGGGCCUU
Molecule: ribosomal RNA, 267 nt
Filed under: uncultured Sphingobacteriales bacterium
Lineage: Bacteria; Pseudomonadati; Bacteroidota; Sphingobacteriia; Sphingobacteriales
Description: partial 16S ribosomal RNA
Rfam family: Bacterial small subunit ribosomal RNA
Source: RNAcentral